GAUGAACGCUGGCGGUGUGCCUAAUACAUGCAAGUCGAGCGACAGCACGGGAAGAUCUUUUCCUUACUGUUAGCGGGGGACGGGCGAGUAAGGAAUGGAUAACAUUCUUCUUUGUCUUGGAUGAUAUCGGGGAGCAGGAGACACUACUAGAUCAUAUUUUGUACCGCAUAGUUCAAAAGUGCUAGACAGUCUUGCUGUCACAUAUAGCUGGAUCCGGGCUGCAUUAGCUAGUUGGUAAGGUAACGGCGUACCAAGGCAACGAUGCGUAGCUGACCUGAGAGGAUGAUCGGCCACACUGGAACUGAGACGCGGUCCAGACUCCUACGGGAGGCAGCAGUGGGGAAUCUUCGGCAAUGGGCGAAAGCCUGACGCAGCAACGCCGCGUGGGUGAUGAAGGUCUUCGGGUCGUAAAGCUCUGUUGUUGGGAAAGAACAGAUGCAGAAUAAACCGUGGAUAUCCUGACGGUACCUAAACAGAAAGCCACGGCUAACUUCGUG
This 497-nucleotide ribosomal RNA is filed under the name uncultured bacterium. RNAcentral describes it as "partial 16S ribosomal RNA". It matches the Rfam family "Bacterial small subunit ribosomal RNA", at positions 28 to 507 of the family's 1533-position model. The record is from RNAcentral.